RNAcentral lists this ribosomal RNA (497 nucleotides) under uncultured bacterium. Its description in RNAcentral is "partial 16S ribosomal RNA". It matches the Rfam family "Bacterial small subunit ribosomal RNA", at positions 28 to 507 of the family's 1533-position model. The record is from RNAcentral.
GAUGAACGCUGGCGGCGUGCCUAAUACAUGCAAGUCGAGCGAACAGAUGAGGAGCUUGCUCCUCUGACGUUAGCGGCGGACGGGUGAGUAACACGUGGAUAACCUACCUAUAAGACCGGGAUAACUUCGGGAAACCGGAGCUAAUACCGGAUAAUAUAUUGAACCGCAUGGUUCAAUAGUGAAAGACGGUUUUGCUGUCACUUAUAGAUGGAUCCGCGCCGCAUUAGCUAGUUGGUAAGGUAACGGCUUACCAAGGCAACGAUGCGUAGCCGACCUGAGAGGGUGAUCGGCCACACUGGAACUGAGACACGGUCCAGACUCCUACGGGAGGCAGCAGUAGGGAAUCUUCCGCAAUGGGCGAAAGCUUGACGGAGCAACGCCGCGUGAGUGAUGAAGGUCUUCGGAUCGUAAAACUCUGUUAUUAGGGAAGAACAAAUGUGUAAGUAACUAUGCACGUCUUGACGGUACCUAAUCAGAAAGCCACGGCUAACUACGUG